Molecule: ribosomal RNA, 467 nt
Filed under: uncultured bacterium
Lineage: Bacteria
Description: partial 16S ribosomal RNA
Rfam family: Bacterial small subunit ribosomal RNA
Source: RNAcentral
GACGAACGCUGGCGGCGUGCUUAACACAUGCAAGUCGAACGGAAAGGCCUCUUUCGGGGGGUACUCGCGUGGCGAACGGGUGAGUAACACGUGAGUAACCUGCCCUUGACUUUGGGAUAACUUCAGGAAACUGGGGCUAAUACCCGAUAGGAGCUCCUGCUGCAUGGUGGGGGUUGGAGAGUUUCGGCGGUUGGGGAUGGACUCGCGGCUUAUCAGCUUGUUGGUGGGGUAGUGGCUUACCAAGGCUUUGACGGGUAGCCGGCCUGGGAGGGUGACCGGCCACAUUGGGACUGAGAUACGGCCCAGACGCCGACGGGAGGGAGCAGGGGGGAAUAUUGCACAAGGGGUGGAAGCCGGAUGCAGCAACGCCGUGGGCGGGAGGACGGCCUUCGGGUUGGAAACCGCUUUCGCUCAUGACGAAGCUGUGUGUGACGGUAGUGGGUAAAGAAGCACCGGCUAACUACGUG